Perca flavescens (yellow perch) is the source of this 343-nucleotide long non-coding RNA. RefSeq lists it as uncharacterized. NCBI's taxonomy places the organism in Eukaryota, Metazoa, Chordata, Actinopteri, Perciformes, Percidae. The record is from RefSeq and is a predicted model, not a curated record. The transcript has 3 exons.
UUAGAACUUCUAAAGCAUUUUGGAGCUCAGGCGUAUCGAGCCAACUGUCCUCCAGGAUUCCGUUCCCCCUUCUAACAGGCCCACCAAACCUGACCUCAACAAACCACCUUCUUUGCAACACUGUGAAGUCCUGAGGGACUUUCUUUAAGUCUGCUUCAUCUUCGUCCCUACUCCCAAUCUCGCAUCGUGGUUCACCCUUUAAAAUCUCAGAAAACCAUUUCUCACCUCAUCCCUUAACUGGACCAUCUCUCACAUAAUACUUCAAAAAAUAAAAUAAUUUGAUUUAUGGAGCCUGUUGGGUAUUAAGAAAAGUUUCUUUUCUUUUUCUUAUCCUUAAUGUAUA